GAUGAACGCUAGGCGGGAGGACUUAACACAUGCAAGUCGGAGGGCAGCAUAGGGUAGCAAUACUCUGAUGGCGACCGGCAAACGGGUGAGUAACGCGUAUGUAACCUACCCUGUACAGGGGGAUAACCCGGAGAAAUUCGGACUAAUAUCCCAUAACAAUAUCCGGGGGCAUCUUUGGAUAUUUAAAGUUCCGGCGGUACGGGAUGGGCAUGCGUAACAUUAGCUAGUUGGUAAGGUAACGGCUUACCAAGGCUUUGAUGUUUAGGGGUCCUGAGAGGGUGGUCCCCCACACUGGUACUGAGACACGGACCAGACUCCUACGGGAGGCAGCAGUGAGGAAUAUUGGUCAAUGGGCGCAAGCCUGAACCAGCCAUCCCGCGUGCAGGAAGACGGCGCUAUGCGUUGUAAACUGCUUUUCCAGGGAGAGAAACUUGCGCACGUGUUGCGCAAUUGACGGUACCCUGGGAAUAAGCAUCGGCUAACUCCGUG
RNAcentral lists this ribosomal RNA (489 nucleotides) under uncultured bacterium. RNAcentral's name for it is "bacterial SSU rRNA". It matches the Rfam family "Bacterial small subunit ribosomal RNA", at positions 28 to 507 of the family's 1533-position model. The record is from RNAcentral.